Molecule: ribosomal RNA, 678 nt
Filed under: uncultured bacterium
Lineage: Bacteria
Description: bacterial SSU rRNA
Rfam family: Bacterial small subunit ribosomal RNA
Source: RNAcentral
CUAACACAUGCAAGUCGAGCGAGGACUUCGGUUCUAGCGGCGGACGGGUUAGUAACGCGUGGGAACGUACCCUUUUCUACGGAAUAGCCUCGGGAAACUGAGAGUAAUACCGUAUACGCCCUUUGGGGGAAAGAUUUAUCGGAGAAGGAUCGGCCCGCGUUAGAUUAGAUAGUUGGUGGGGUAAUGGCCUACCAAGUCUACGAUCUAUAGCUGGUUUGAGAGGAUGAUCAGCAACACUGGGACUGAGACACGGCCCAGACUCCUACGGGAGGCAGCAGUGGGGAAUCUUAGACAAUGGGCGCAAGCCUGAUCUAGCCAUGCCGCGUGAGUGAAGAAGGCCUUAGGGUCGUAAAGCUCUUUCGCCUGUGAAGAUAAUGACUGUAGCAGGUAAAGAAACCCCGGCUAACUCCGUGCCAGCAGCCGCGGUAAUACGGAGGGGGUUAGCGUUGUUCGGAAUUACUGGGCGUAAAGCGCGCGUAGGCGGACAUUUAAGUCAGAGGUGAAAUCCCAGGGCUCAACCCUGGAACUGCCUUUGAUACUGGGUGUCUUGAGUUCGAGAGAGGUGAGUGGAAUUCCGAGUGUAGAGGUGAAAUUCGUAGAUAUUCGGAGGAACACCAGUGGCGAAGGCGGCUCACUGGCUCGAUACUGACGCUGAGGUGCGAAAGUGUGGGGAGCAAA